AGUGAACGCUGGCGGUAGGCCUAACACAUGCAAGUCGAACGGCAGCACAGUAAGAGCUUGCUCUUACGGGUGGCGAGUGGCGGACGGGUGAGGAAUACAUCGGAAUCUACUUUUUCGUGGGGGAUAACGUAGGGAAACUUACGCUAAUACCGCAUACGACCUACGGGUGAAAGCAGGGGAUCUUCGGGCCUUGCGCGAUUGAAUGAGCCGAUGUCGGAUUAGCUAGUUGGCGGGGUAAAGGCCCACCAAGGCGACGAUCCGUAGCUGGUCUGAGAGGAUGAUCAGCCACACUGGAACUGAGACACGGUCCAGACUCCUACGGGAGGCAGCAGUGGGGAAUAUUGGACAAGGGGCGCAAGCCUGAUCCAGCCAUACCGCGUGGGUGAAGAAGGCCUUCGGGUUGUAAAGCCCUUUUGUUGGGAAAGAAAAGCAGCAGGUUAAUACCCCGCUGUUCUGACGGUACCCAAAGAAUAAGCACCGGCUAACUUCGU
RNAcentral lists this ribosomal RNA (491 nucleotides) under uncultured bacterium. Its description in RNAcentral is "partial 16S ribosomal RNA". It matches the Rfam family "Bacterial small subunit ribosomal RNA", at positions 29 to 506 of the family's 1533-position model. The record is from RNAcentral.